GACGAACGCUGGCGGCGUGCUUAACACAUGCAAGUCGAACGGAAAGGCCCUGCUUUUGUGGGGUGCUCGAGUGGCGAACGGGUGAGUAACACGUGAGUAACCUGCCCUUGACUUUGGGAUAACUUCAGGAAACUGGGGCUAAUACCGGAUAGGAGCUCCUGCUGCAUGGUGGGGGUUGGAAAGUUUCGGCGGUUGGGGAUGGACUCGCGGCUUAUCAGCUUGUUGGUGGGGUAGUGGCUUACCAAGGCUUUGACGGGUAGCCGGCCUGAGAGGGUGACCGGCCACAUUGGGACUGAGAUACGGCCAAGACUCCUACGGGAGGCAGCAGUGGGGAAUAUUGCACAAUGGGCGGAAGCCGGAUGCAGCAACGCCGCGUGCGGGAUGACGGCCUUCGGGUUGUAAACCGCUUUCGCCUGUGACGAAGCGUGAGUGACGGUAAUGGGUAAAGAAGCACCGGCUAACUACGU
RNAcentral lists this ribosomal RNA (467 nucleotides) under uncultured bacterium. RNAcentral describes it as "partial 16S ribosomal RNA". It matches the Rfam family "Bacterial small subunit ribosomal RNA", at positions 28 to 506 of the family's 1533-position model. The record is from RNAcentral.